Molecule: long non-coding RNA, 316 nt
Organism: Mus musculus (house mouse)
Lineage: Eukaryota; Metazoa; Chordata; Mammalia; Rodentia; Muridae
Product: predicted gene, 39510
Exons: 2
Source: RefSeq, a predicted model, not a curated record
AUGAAUGUACAACAAACAAUCCAAUGUCAAAAAUGAUCACUAUUGCACGAUGAGACUACAAACCUAGGUUUUCAGCAAUUUCUACACAUGAUGUUCUAACUCUGGCCAUGGCAGAAUUUAGCUGGCUGAUUCUUUGAAUCUGGCUAGGGUGGAUUCUUACAAGGACAAAGAGGAUUUGCUCAGUAACCGGCAAGAGAGAGUCUUGCCAACCCCACUUCUUGAUAUUCAACCAACUGGCAAGCUAUGGACACAGGAUAAGGAUGUUGGAUAGUUUUUUUCACUUCUGGAUUGGAGUUCCUCUAGCAUUUUUUACUGG